UGCCAGCAGCCGCGGUAAUACGGAGGGUGCAAGCGUUGUCCGGAUUUAUUGGGUUUAAAGGGUGCGUAGGCGGUCAAUUAAGUCAGUGGUGAAAUCCUAUAGCUUAACUAUAGAACUGCCAUUGAUACUGGUUGACUUGAGUACAGACGAGGUAGGCGGAAUUUAUGGUGUAGCGGUGAAAUGCAUAGAUACCAUAAAGAACACCGAUAGCGAAGGCAGCUUACUGGACUGUAACUGACGCUGAGGCACGAAAGCAUGGGUAGCGAACAGGAUUAGAUA
Molecule: ribosomal RNA, 279 nt
Filed under: uncultured bacterium
Lineage: Bacteria
Description: partial 16S ribosomal RNA
Rfam family: Bacterial small subunit ribosomal RNA
Source: RNAcentral